AUACGGAGGAUGCAAGCGUUGUCCGGAUUUAUUGGGUUUAAAGGGUGCGUAGGCGGUUUGCUAAGCGGGAGGUGAAAUGCCGGCGCUCAACGUCGGAAGUGCCUCCCGAACUGGUGGACUGGAAUGACUCUGCCGUGGGAGGAAUGUGUAGUGUAGCGGUGAAAUGCUUAGAGAUUACACAGAACACCGAUUGCGAAGGCAUCUCACGAAGGGUUGAUUGACGCUGAGGCACGAAAGCGUGGGGAUCAAACAGGAUUAGAUACCCUGGUAGUCCACGCAGUAAACGAUGAUGGCUAACCGCUGGGCUUAUCAGUUCAGUGGCCAAGCGAAAGCGAUAAGCCAUCCACCUGGGGAGUACGACCGCAAGGUUGAAACUCAAAGGAAUUGACGGGG
Molecule: ribosomal RNA, 393 nt
Filed under: uncultured bacterium
Lineage: Bacteria
Description: partial 16S ribosomal RNA
Rfam family: Bacterial small subunit ribosomal RNA
Source: RNAcentral